GACAGAGGUUGCAAACGUUGUUCGGAAUUACUGGGCAUAAAGCGCACGUAGGCGGUCCGUUAAGUCAUGUGUGAAAUCCCUCGGCUCAACCGAGGAAUUGCGCCUGAUACUGGCGGGCUAGAGGUCGAUAGGGGUAAGCGGAACUCCAGGUGGAGCGGUGAAAUGCGUAGAUAUCUGGAGGAACACCGGUGGCGAAAGCGGCUUACUGGAUCGAAACUGACGCUGAGGUGCGAAAGCUAGGGUAGCAAACGGG
RNAcentral lists this ribosomal RNA (253 nucleotides) under uncultured bacterium. RNAcentral describes it as "partial 16S ribosomal RNA". It matches the Rfam family "Bacterial small subunit ribosomal RNA", at positions 524 to 776 of the family's 1533-position model. The record is from RNAcentral.